RNAcentral lists this ribosomal RNA (343 nucleotides) under uncultured bacterium. Its description in RNAcentral is "partial 16S ribosomal RNA". It matches the Rfam family "Bacterial small subunit ribosomal RNA", at positions 338 to 674 of the family's 1533-position model. The record is from RNAcentral.
CCUACGGGAGGCAGCAGUGGGGAAUCUUCCGCAAUGGGCGAAAGCCUGACGGAGCAACGCCGCGUGAUCGAAUGAAGGCCUUCGGGUUGUAAAGAUCUGUUGACAGGGACGAAUAAGCAAUGCAAAUAGUUUUGUGUAUGACGGUACAUGUUUAGAAUGCUCCGGCUAACUACGUGCCAGCAGCCGCGGUAAUACGUCGGGAGCAAGCGUUGACCGGAAUUACUGGGCGUAAAGGGCGCGUAAGUGGGCGCUUAAGUCAGGUGUGAAAACUCCGGGCCCAACCUGGAGACUGCACUUGAUACUGGGGGUCGUGAGAGUAGGAGAGGAAAGUGGAAUUCCUAGU